Molecule: non-coding RNA, 1636 nt
Organism: Physcomitrium patens
Lineage: Eukaryota; Viridiplantae; Streptophyta; Bryopsida; Funariales; Funariaceae
Source: RefSeq, a predicted model, not a curated record
CGGACAGGCCCUACUAACAUUUUUCAAGAGUCUCUUUCAUUACCACAAUAUCCAUCUUCAAUUGGUUAUUACAUAAUCGGAGGAACAAGUUGAGCUGCUUUCUACCUUCGAAUUGUUUACUUGGCUGGCAUCCCGAGCUCGUUUCAAAACUGUUUGUUACCUGGUGGUGUGAUGGUUCAGGAAUCAGUAUAAUAUGUGUUCAGACACAAGCUGAUUGCAUCGAAAAAGUUUUCAAUAUCAAUCGUAAUGGAUCAAAAAGCUGAUAUUCCACUAUGCAGGAGCUCCACAUAUACUCAGUCCAAUGACUGGAUGCACAGUGAUCAUGGAUGUACAUACAGAUCACUUUGUUAUUGUGUUUGAUACCCUAAGACCCUAAGCGAGAUAUUCUGACGCCCCCUCGCCCUUGGAGUCUUUCAUGAUUUGGGGAAUGUUGCUCUGUAGUUGUGCUUUUGUUCGAUGUGAAGUUCGAGGAGAUGGCUGGUCGUCGGCCGAGAUUCUUGGAUCGUUGGGAUACUGAUGAGUUGUCGGUGGUAGGCAUGUGACUUCCUUUCUUUUUUUCUUUUCUUUUGCUUUUCCUUUUGAUAGUGCUUGAGUUGAAAGCUUUGAUCUUACUUGUGAAAUUGUUUUGUUUAUUCAGUUUUGGUGCAUCUUGUUCGGUUUGUGGUUCUUCAUCGCCACAUUCCACCGUUGUUAUGAUUGGUUUCUGGAUUGUUUUUUUUGGAAUGCUGAGGUAGAAAAGGAUGAGCGUGUCAAGAGUAAACAGCGAGUUGAAUUUAACAAGGAUGACCAACAGGCAAAUUGUUUGUUAGGGAGUAGCUCCGUGAUUUUGUCAAAGAAGUUCUAUGGUGUGUCUCGCGGAUAAAAGAUUGGUGUAUACUUGUCUUAGUCAGAGUGCGAGGAGCAAGUCCGCGGAUACAAAGGGGCUAGAUACAAGGAAUUCAAAAAGUUUGAGUGUACGAGGUGACUUACAUUAGCGUAUUUCGAUCUCAAUAACGAGAGGGGGUCUGGAGUUGUGCCCUGAAUUCGGAAGGAUAGUGUUUGAAGCCAUAUUGCUUCUCUGAUCCCUUUGGCCAGGGCUUGGGCUUUUGCAUCAAUGGAGGAUACAGCCACUAUUGAUUGUUUUUUCAAUGCCCAUGAGACUAGACCACCUAUUGAUUUGAAUAUCCAUCCCAUGAUGGAUUUUUGAUCAAUUUGGCAGUUGAUCUAGUCUGAGUCUGUAAAGCCCAACAUGGUAGGGCUUUUGCUAUGUUUGUAGAAGAUCCCGAGAUUUAGUGCUCCUUUCACAUAUCUGAGUAUUUGGUUAGCCGCAUGAAGGUGGGACACUCUUGAACUUUGCAUGAACUUGCUGAGUACCCCCGUGGCGAAGAAAAUCUCAGGUUUUGUGUUGACUAAGUAGAUCAGCAUACCAAUAAGUUUCUGAAACUUUUUGGCAUCAACUAGGGAUGCACUCUCAUCUUUACUAAGUUUCAAACCUUCUGCCAUGGAUUCCGUUGACAGUGUGCAAUCCUGCAUAUCAAAUUCUGUCAAUAUAUGGGAGGCAUAUGCUUGUUGGAAAAGGAAGAUUCCCUCCGGCUGUUGGAUGAACCCUACUCCCAAAUAAUAGGUGAUAUUUCCUAGAUCCGACAUUUUGAAUCUU